This 416-nucleotide ribosomal RNA is filed under the name uncultured bacterium. RNAcentral describes it as "bacterial SSU rRNA". It matches the Rfam family "Bacterial small subunit ribosomal RNA", at positions 506 to 920 of the family's 1533-position model. The record is from RNAcentral.
UGCCAGCAGCCGCGGUAAUACGAAGGGUGCAAGCGUUAAUCGGAAUUACUGGGCGUAAAGGGUGCGUAGGCGGUUGUUUAAGUCUGUUGUGAAAUCCCCGGGCUCAACCUGGGAAUGGCAAUGGAUACUGGACAGCUAGAGUGUGUCAGAGGAUGGUGGAAUUUCCGGUGUAGCGGUGAAAUGCGUAGAGAUCGGAAGGAACAUCAGUGGCGAAGGCGGCCAUCUGGGACAACACUGACGCUGAAGCACGAAAGCGUGGGGAGCAAACAGGAUUAGAUACCCUGGUAGUCCACGCCCUAAACGAUGCGAACUGGAUGUUGGUCUCAACUCGGAGAUCAGUGUCGAAGCUAACGCGUUAAGUUCGCCGCCUGGGGAGUACGGUCGCAAGACUGAAACUCAAAGGAAUUGACGGGGGC